This is a long non-coding RNA of Tupaia belangeri chinensis (Chinese tree shrew), 577 nucleotides long. RefSeq lists it as uncharacterized. The record is from RefSeq and is a predicted model, not a curated record. Lineage: Eukaryota; Metazoa; Chordata; Mammalia; Scandentia; Tupaiidae. The transcript has 3 exons.
UCCGCCCUUAAAAGGAGAACUUCCGGCCUCAGGAGCGUACUCGUCGGGACUCGUCCGCCCGACGUUCAAACUUUUCCUUGUGCGUGUGUAGCCACGACCGCCGGUAGCGAGGAGACUCAAGUCCGCUUCCGCCCUUCCUGAGACCCAGGACGCGACCGAGGCGGGGAUGCCUGCCAGUCACACUAAGGAAACUACUCAAUACCCAUAACCUGAGAGAGGUGUUAGGAAGAAAGGAUGCUGGUCAUCACUCCCAAUUCACACAUCCUUCAUUAAUUACGUCACAUGGAAGAGUCUUCAUAUAAUAUUUUCAGCAACGUAUCUUAGACCACAUCUAUGAAGAGCAAGAUGGACCCACAAGCCUACUAGUGAGCAGGUGGACUCAACUCUACCCAUUCGUUUCCACCACUGGAAACCUCUGCUGUGAGGUGCCCAGGAUGAUGAGGGUAUGUAUGGACACACUGUCAGCUGGAAUCGCCUGGGCUGUUCCACUGAAGCUCAAGCAGCACAGGUCCUUUCAAGAGACUGUGCUUCGGGGCCGGCAGUUGGCAUGGUGAUGAAGGUGCUGGACUCCCAUAUG